This is a non-coding RNA of Phascolarctos cinereus (koala), 520 nucleotides long. The record is from the annotation of a RefSeq genome assembly. NCBI's taxonomy places the organism in Eukaryota, Metazoa, Chordata, Mammalia, Diprotodontia, Phascolarctidae.
CCCCAGGUUGACUCUUACCCUCCCAUACCUUAGAGAUCAAAGCCUAGGGAUGGUGAGACAUCUUAUUCCUAUCCCAGUCAUGAGCACCAAUUUCCACUGCUGCAUGGCCAUUUUUCUCCUGGGGAUAGGUUCUAUGGAUGCUGGAGUCACCCAGAUCCCAAAACUCUUAGUCAAAGAGAAAGGACAGAAGGCUACCCUGAGAUGUAAACAGAAUUUGAAUCAUGACUAUAUGUACUGGUAUCGGCAGGAUGACAAAGGAUUCCAGGCCAUGUUUUCUUGGAAUAAUAAUGAGCUCUUUGAGAACUUUACUAACUCCAAUCAUUUCAGACCUAAACGUCUGGACAAGGCCCAACUGAACCUUCAAAUCGAAACUCUGCAGCCCGUGGACACAGCUGUCUACUUCUGUGCCAGCAGUUAUAGCACAGUGCUCCAAAGUCACGCUUUCUCUGUGCACAAACUUCCCCCAGCCACACCACAGGCAGAGCAGGAGGUGAGAGGGGCCAACAGUCAUUCCUUGUGA